GGGGCUUUUGAGUUUU
Molecule: transfer RNA, 16 nt
Filed under: Portulaca villosa
Lineage: Eukaryota; Viridiplantae; Streptophyta; Magnoliopsida; Caryophyllales; Portulacaceae
Also listed under: 1 other name
Description: partial tRNA-Thr
Source: RNAcentral